RNAcentral lists this transfer RNA (82 nucleotides) under Lactobacillus crispatus. RNAcentral describes it as "tRNA-Tyr". It matches the Rfam family "tRNA". From Rfam's summary of the family: Transfer RNA (tRNA) molecules are approximately 80 nucleotides in length. Their secondary structure includes four short double-helical elements and three loops (D, anti-codon, and T loops). Further hydrogen bonds mediate the characteristic L-shaped molecular structure. tRNAs have two regions of fundamental functional importance: the anti-codon, which is responsible for specific mRNA codon recognition, and the 3' end, to which the tRNAs corresponding amino acid is attached (by aminoacyl-tRNA synthetases). tRNAs cope with the degeneracy of the genetic code in two manners: having more than one tRNA (with a specific anti-codon) for a particular amino acid; and 'wobble' base-pairing, i.e. permitting non-standard base-pairing at the 3rd anti-codon position. Lineage: Bacteria; Bacillati; Bacillota; Bacilli; Lactobacillales; Lactobacillaceae. The record is from RNAcentral.
GGAGGAGUAGCGAAGUGGCUAAACGCGGCGGUCUGUAAAACCGCUCUCUCUGAGUUCGGCGGUUCGAAUCCACCCUCCUCCC